This 520-nucleotide ribosomal RNA is filed under the name uncultured bacterium. RNAcentral's name for it is "bacterial SSU rRNA". It matches the Rfam family "Bacterial small subunit ribosomal RNA", at positions 32 to 518 of the family's 1533-position model. The record is from RNAcentral.
AGGACGACGCUGGCGGCGUGCCUAAUACAUGCAAGUCGAACGGUCUUUUCUAUGGAAGCUUGCUUCCACUGAGAAGAUAGUGGCGAACGGGUGAGUAACACGUGGGUAACCUGCCCAUAAGAGGGGGAUAACAUCCGGAAACGGGUGCUAAUACCGCAUAGUUUUCUUGAUCGCAUGAUCGGGAAAGGAAAGACGGCCUUUGUGCUGUCGCUUAUGGAUGGACCCGCGGCGUAUUAGUUAGUUGGUGAGGUAACGGCUCACCAAGACGAUGAUACGUAGCCGACCUGAGAGGGUGAUCGGCCACAUUGGGACUGAGACACGGCCCAAACUCCUACGGGAGGCAGCAGUAGGGAAUCUUCCGCAAUGGACGAAAGUCUGACGGAGCAACGCCGCGUGAGUGAAGAAAAGGUUUUCGGAUCGUAAAACUCUGUUGUCAGAGAAGAACAAGUUGGAGAGUAACUGCUCCAGCCUUGACGGUAUCUGACCAGAAAGCCACGGCUAACUACGUGCCAGCAGCCGC